Molecule: ribosomal RNA, 582 nt
Filed under: Pichia manshurica
Lineage: Eukaryota; Fungi; Ascomycota; Pichiomycetes; Pichiales; Pichiaceae
Description: eukaryotic LSU rRNA
Rfam family: Eukaryotic large subunit ribosomal RNA
Source: RNAcentral
AAGAAACCAACAGGGAUUGCCCCAGUAGCGGCGAGUGAAGCGGCAAGAGCUCAGAUUUGAAAUCGUGUUUCGGCACGAGUUGUAGAGUGUAGGCGGGAGUCUCUGUGGAGCGCGGUGUCCAAGUCCCUUGGAACAGGGUGCCUGAGAGGGUGAGAGCCCCGUAGGGUGCUGCGCGAAGCUUUUGAGGCCCUGCUGACGAGUCGAGUUGUUUGGGAAUGCAGCUCCAAGCGGGUGGUAAAUUCCAUCUAAGGCUAAAUAUUGGCGAGAGACCGAUAGCGAACAAGUACUGUGAAGGAAAGAUGAAAAGCACUUUGAAAAGAGAGUGAAACAGCACGUGAAAUUGUUGAAAGGGAAGGGUAUUGGGCUCGACAUGGGGGGUGCGCACCGCUGUCUCUUGUAGGCGGCGCUCUGGGCGCCCUCUGGGCCAGCAUCGGUUCCUGCUGCGGGAGAAGGGGCUCCGGAAAGUGGCUCUUCGGAGUGUUAUAGCCGGGGCCAGAUGCCGCGUGUGGGGACCGAGGACUGCGGCUUCUGUCUCGGAUGCUGGCAUAACGGCGCAAUACUGCCCGUCUUGAAACACGGACC